CGAAACCAGGUGAUCUACCCAUGUCCAGGGUGAAGUUCAGGUAACACUGAAUGGAGGCCCGAACCCACGCACGUUGAAAAGUGCGGGGAUGAGGUGUGGGUAGGGGUGAAAUGCCAAUCGAACCUGGAGAUAGCUGGUUCUCUCCGAAAUAGCUUUAGGGCUAGCCUUAAGGUAAGAGUCUUGGAGGUAGAGCACUGAUUGGACUAGGGGCCCCUACCGGGUUACCGAAUUCAGUCAAACUCCGAAUGCCAAUGACUUAUCCUUAGGAGUCAGACUGCGAGUGAUAAGAUCCGUAGUCGAAAGGGAAACAGCCCAGACCGCCAGCUAAGGUCCCAAAGUAUACGUUAAGUGGAAAAGGAUGUGGAGUUGCUUAGACAACCAGG
RNAcentral lists this ribosomal RNA (383 nucleotides) under Bacillus atrophaeus. Its description in RNAcentral is "partial 23S ribosomal RNA". It matches the Rfam family "Bacterial large subunit ribosomal RNA", at positions 716 to 1097 of the family's 2925-position model. Lineage: Bacteria; Bacillati; Bacillota; Bacilli; Caryophanales; Bacillaceae. The record is from RNAcentral.